RNAcentral lists this long non-coding RNA (33611 nucleotides) under Vigna radiata. RNAcentral describes it as "long non-coding RNA (VRAD_LNC002155)". The record is from RNAcentral. Lineage: Eukaryota; Viridiplantae; Streptophyta; Magnoliopsida; Fabales; Fabaceae.
CAAAAUUAAAAUUCAACCUAUUCUAAGAAUUUAAAUGCAAAAAGUAAAAGAAGAAAAUCUAGGUUGCCUCCUAGUAGCGCUUGUUUAACGUCACGAGCCUGACCCAAACUUGUUUGGCACUUGUCAGUAAGUGCACUUCCUUCCACCACCCAUCAGUAGGUGUACCUUCCGGAUAUCCUUCAGUGGAUACCAAAAAUUUUAGCAUCCCUCAAUAGAUGCUACCCAACAAUUGUUCCACAAAUUCAAAAAGUACAUGUUCCAACGAAAAUAAAAAAAUGCAAAUAACUAAAAAAAUGAAAAUUGUUUUUAAAAAUAUAAAAAUUGAUUUCCAGCAAGUUCAACUCUUCUUCUUCACGUUGGGAUCUUCAUUGUCCCACCGGCUCACUUUCCUUCGAUCCACCUUCUUGAUCACUGUGGAAUAUGGUCUUUGAAUUUCCACCAUUCCUUUUUCCUUCAGCUCCUUUACUAUCCAUUCCUUUUUCUUAAAUCUGACUUUGUUCCCCGGUUGGAGUGGAUCUUCUUUUGAUUCUGGGUGAAUGGUUUUUCUCCUUUUAUCCUCAGGCACCUGCAAAAUACAACAGUUGUCAUAAUAAUCAGUACCUACUAUGCUCUCUUCUUAUUCUUCGUUCAUCUCUGGCUUCUCAAAUGUGUUUCUUUUUACUGUUUUGAUCUCAUCGCCUUCACGACCAGUAUAAAGAAAUAGAUAAAUCAAAUCCCUCAUCAUUAUCCUUCCAUCAUGAACAUCAAUAAACAUCUUUGAUGUUGCCAUAAAGGGUCGCCCCAAAAUCACAAGAUACUCCUCCUCCGUUUUAACAUCCAUGACAAUGAAAUCUGCUAAGAACUCAAGUCGGUCUACUCGCACAACAACAUUUUCCACCAUUCCCACUGGCGCUUUUGUAGAACCAUCUGCCAUUGUUAUAGUCAAGUCAGAUGGUUUUAACACAAGCCCACUAAUUUCCUUCAAAAGUUCUGUGGGUAUUAAAUUGAUACUAGAUCCAUAAUCUAUCAUAGCUUCCACAUCCAAAUCAUUCAGAGCACAUGACAGUGUUAAGCACCCCGGAUCUUUAGCCUUAGGAGGAUAAUUACUCUUUUGUGGUUGAACAACAAGAUCCUCUUCUCAUUAGUAAGCUCAAUUUCGACAAGAUCCUCUUCUUCAUCAGUAAGCUCAAUUUCAUCAUCAAUGUUGAUUUUGAUUCUUUCUGAAUAGGGAGGGAGCUGCUGAUUUCCUAAAGGUAACACAGUCAUCCGGUUGAAAAUCUCUCUAAAUCCCCCAUUAUGAUUGCAACUAGUUCCUAUUUCCUCUUUUCCUCCACCAACCUCUUCUUCGUUAAAAUUUUCAUCUUCUUCAUUUUCACUGCUCAUGGGUUCAAAUAAUUCAACCAUCAACAUUUCCUCCUCUUCACUAUUCACCACAUGGAACGGUUCACAAUCUGCUUCCCAACAAUCCUAGCUCGUAAUAAUCUUGCAUUAUGAACAAAAGCUUUAUGAGAACUUCUCUCUGACACACAGUGUUCUACUUUUCUUUUUCAGUUCAAAAACGUUGCUUCUGAAGAUUUGAAAAACCAAAUAUAUAGCCAAGUACAUUGAAUGCCAAAGGUCAGCUCCCAACUGCCAUGAAUAAUCGAUUAUUGUAAGUGAUAAUUGAUUAUUCAAGUCCGUUACAGAUUUUUCAAAAAGUAAUAAUCGAUUAUAUGAAGUGAUAAUCGAUUAUUCAAGUAUGACUUGUGAUAAUCGAUUAUUGCUUCAUGAUAAUCGAUUAUUCUAGUACAAAAAACAUGUGAUAAUCGAUUAUAGAAGAUUUGUGAAAGAUUUCUCCACCAUAGCUGCCCCUUUGAAUGAAUUGGUCAAAAAGGAUGUUCCUUUUAUUUGGGGUGACAAACAAGCCAUAUCUUUUGAGACCUUGAAAAAUAAGUUAACUCAUGCACCCAUUCUAGCCUUGCCUGACUUUUCCAAAGCUUUUGAACUAGAAUGUGAUGCAUCUGGGGUAGGAAUAGGAGCUGUCUUAAUUCAAGAAGGUCAUCCAGUGGCAUACUUUAGUGAAAAACUUAGGGGACCUACCUUAAACUAUCCUACCUAUGAUAAGGAAUUAUAUGCCCUCAUUAGAGCUUUAAAGACUUGGGAGCAUUACUUGGUAACUCGAGAAUUUAUUAUACAUACUGACCAUGAAUCUCUCAAGUAUCUUAAAGGGCAAGGAAAGCUAAACAAAAGACAUGCCAAGUGGGUGGAAUACCUGUAGCAAUUUCCAUAUGUCAUCAAACACAAGAAGGGGAGUAAUGUUGUUGCGGAUGCUUUAUCUAGAAGACAUGCAUUAUUAGUAACACUAGGCUCUCAAAUAUUAGGAUUUGAUGAUAUAAGAGAGUUAUAUGAAAGUGAUUAAACAUUUGCAUCCACUUAUGCAUCAUGUCUUAAGAAGCCUUUUGAUGGAUUCUAUCUUUCUAAGGGGUAUCUUUUUAAUAAAGGAAAACUUUGUAUACCCCAAGGAUCCAUUAGAAAACUUCUUAUCAAAGAAAGUCAUGGAGGAGGACUCAUGGGCCAUCAUGGAGUUGAUAAGACUCUAAACAUUUUGAAAAAUAAAUUCUAUUGGCCACACAUGAGAGUAGAUGUUCAAAGGCAUUGUUCUAAAUGCAUAGCUUGUUUACAAGCUAAGUCAAAAAUUAUGCCUCAAGGACUCUAUACACCUCUUCCAAUAGCUAGUACCCCAUGGGAGGACAUAAGCAUGGAUUUUGUUCUAGGAUUGCCAAGAACUAAAAAGGGGUAUGAUUCUAUAUUUGUGGUGGUAGAUCGGUUUAGUAAUAUGGCACACUUUAUACCUUGCCACAAAGUAGAUGAUGCUAGUUAUAUCUCUAGACUCUUCUUUAAAGAAAUAGUGAGAUUGCAUGGUUUACCCAAAACCAUAGUGUCUGAUAGAGAUCUCUUCUGAACGUGCUACAACAGCGUGGGAAUUGCUGGAGGAAAACUGGCGCAUUUCUUCUGAAUUUCAUUUGAAUUUAAGAAGCAUUUUGAUUUUAGAAAAGAGGCCCAUCUUUCCCUAUAAAUAAGAGGGCCUCUCCUUUGUAUGAGUCACUUUAGAGCUUGAAUGUUAUGCUGCAAAAAUGAAUUUCCAGCUUGCUUUGCUCUUGAGUCACCAAUUCUCUUCACUUUCUCUACCCUUUCCUCUAGCUUCCUUCCAUAGUGGGAAGGCCUUCUGAGCUGAGGAGAUAACCCACACACUCCUACCAUUUCCAAAACAGAAACACCAUUGCACUUAUCCAUAUCCACUGCAUCAACAACAUUAUCCGCUGCAUCACUCUGUUCGAAGUUUACUUGCUAUUUGGGAUUGCUACACAUUGAUUCCAGACCUUGGCUAGCUUCCAUCAUGAAGGAGAUAACAGAAAACACAAAGAAAAAAAAUUCAAAGAUGGAGUUCAUAGGAGAAAUUUUUUGAAUGGAUGUCUACUUAAAAUAAUUACUAUUGACGUCAAAGCCAAUUUAAAUUGACAUUUUUUUGGUUGAUUUAAAAGAAAAAUAAAACAAUAACUACUUGUUGUAAUAUACAACGUCCAUUUUUUGUUAUUGUAACAUCAUAUUAUUUAAAAUAGAAUUUUGUAUUUAUUUAUUUUGUAUUGAACGUCAAUUGUUUCCUUAACUAAAGUUAUGUGAUUACCUAGGUUUCGUACACCAAGGACCAUCACGUCAGACCCCAAAUUGUUCGACGUUCUACAUUGGUAUAAACGUUGAAACCAUAAAGUGGGCGACGUUCUAUAAAGAAUAAAGAAAAAACGGAUUCACUCUCUGUCAUAUAAACGUCGAAUAUUUAGCAUGGUGAACGUCAAAUGUGGGUAGAGUGAUAUUGUUGGAAGCAAACUACUAUUUCGUUAUUUUUUUAUUUUAAAUUGAACGUCAGUUGUUUCUCAAAAUGAUGUUAAGUGUUUUGUUUCUAAGGUCAUUGUUUUAUGUCACCCAAUAGACGUCGGUUCGAGGGAAGCCCGACAUAUAUGAGUGGACGGUGGCAUUACCGUAAAUAAGUUGGUAACCUGACCUCUUUCAAGGGAAGGCGACGUCUAUGAUAUUGUAGACGUCUGCUCUGCCGUAAAUCGACGUCUAAUGGCCUGAGAUAGGCGAGAAGACAGUCUAUUGACGUCGGUUUUAAUGGGAGGCCGACGUUUACUGGGUUGCAAUUAAUGCUCUUCACCUGAUUCUCAGGCGCUUAGACGUCAUGUAGUCAAAAAGCGACGUCUAUGGCCUAUCCAGAAGGCGGGAAGACAAAAAUUUCUACAAUUUAGACGUCAGUGUUUAAGGGGAGGGACGUUUAUGUGCUUGUAAUUAAUUAUGUUCACCAAACUCGGAGGCCCUUACACGUCCGUCAAAAGGGCACCGACGUCUAAAUUAUUAUAGACGUCGGCGCCCUUUCACAACUGUCGUCAACUUCCCUAACAGGAAAUGAAACGUUAAUCGGUUCAGCAUCCUAGACGUCGGCUCCCCUUAAACCGACUUCUAAAGGGCAUUCAAAAUACAGUUUAUAUGUUAACUUGGUCGUCGAAUUAGUUAGAUAACCGACGUCUAGUUAACUAUAGACGUCGGUUUCUGGAGCAAGCGACGCCCCUUUUCAUUUUAAAUAAACCGCAGACUCUUCGCGGCAUUGUAGUUUCUAAUAUCAUCGUCUUCCUCCUCUCCUUUUUCUCUUGCGGCACCUCUCAUUUUUCUCUCUUGCGGCACUGCAUUAUUGUUUCUAAUAACAUCAUCGUCUUUCUCCUCUCCUUUUUCUCCUUGCGACAUUGCAUCCUAGGUGCGUGUUUUUUUAUUGUUAUCGUUUAACCUUUGUUCAGUCUUUCAUCGAUUAUUUUCUGGUUCAACUGAUUAAACUUUGUUUUCUUUGUGUUGUGUUUUAGUGCAGUUUUGUUCCUUUCUCUGGGUAACAUAGUACCACAUUCUUCCUUUGCUAGCUGCCUCCCAGAAAAAGCGGCGUCUUUUGGAUUUCUAGUGGCGUUUCGACCCAAAAAUGACCCUGGGUCAUUGCCUAGUUAUCGUUUCACCGUAAUUUUUCUCUCUUGCGGUUGAAAAUGGAACUAAGCAAGAACCCAGGUUCGGUUUUCAGUCGAAAUGUCAUGAGAAAUUCAAAAGACCCAAGCUUUUUUUGGGGGAAACUAGCAAAGGCAGAGUGUGCUACUAGGCUAUCCAAAGACAGGAACAAAACUGCACUAAAACACAACGAAUGUAUUAGACGUCGGUUAAUGCAAAAACAAACGUUUAUAGUGACCUUAGACGUCGGUUAGUGACAUGUUCGAAGUCUUUAUGUACUUUUAGACGUCGGUUAAUGAGUAUUCCGACGUCUAUAUUGCGCCUUUGAAUGUUGGGUUAGGCUUAUACCGACAUCGAGUGACGUUGGACAUGGAACUACCUGAUGUCAUUAUAGAUGUCUAUUUAUUGGAUGUCCGACGUCCCAUUGACGUCACCGAUAAUGACGUCAGUUGUUUAAUAGACGUUAAAAACCCCAAAGAACCGAUGUUAAUCAGCAUUUUUACACUGGUGACUUUUAAUAAAACAACAAUAUAUUUCAUUUUUAAUAUAUUUUUGUCAACUCAAGUUUAUCAAGGUCAAAUUUUGAUCUUUAAUAAUACUUUUCAGUUGUCCUUUACAAAGAUUUAGACUUGGCCUUAAAUAAUAUUUUCUUAGACUUUAACCUAAUCUUCGAAUUGUUUUCAGACUUUGUAAACUGUUUUUUUCACCUCCUUAUGACUCCUGAAAAUAAUUUUCCAUUUGCAGAUGAUUCUAAUCAAUUAAUUUUUAUGUUCCCAUCGAAUCAAGUUGUUUUAUGUUUAAAUAAAACGACGAAAGGAUCUAUUUUACUCUCAAAACAAGAUAUUAACAAGAAAUAAAUCAAUAAUACAUAAAAGAAAUAAGCGUUUAGGUUAUUUACAUGGACACCUUAUUAACUAGUAAAGCUUUGAUAUAAUCCUUCAUUAUUCCUCCUGAAUGUGUAUAAUUAUCAUGUUCUUUGUAUAGUACGUCCAUCAUUCGUGCAAGGUUGAGAACACGCACAAGAAACUUCAUUGGUACUUGAGUAGGAUUAAGACAUUACCAACUUGUGUAUUUCGCCUUGAACUAUUAUAUUGCUUCAUUUAGCUUGAGACAACGUGUCCUCUUUCAUGCUCAAACUGCAUAAGUAUUGGAUAACAAAUUUAACAUCAAUGCAACUAAUGAACUAUAAAUAAAUUGGGAAUUAAAUAGGGUUUUUGUUUUUGACAAAUUAUUGAAUUUUGUUGGAGUCUCUAAUAAAUUUUUCUUCACUUUUCAGUUCCUAGUAAUUACCUUUUCCCAAUAUUAUUAUUAUAUAUGUUUCAUUAUUUAAAAUGAUAUAUGAAAGUUUUUUUUCAAGACCAAAAAUAAAAUAAAAUAAAGUAUUAUAAUCAAAGACUGUAAACAAAAUCUGAUAAUUAAUCUGGGUCCAAUACAUACUUAAUAAAAAAAACACUAUUUAAUAUUGUUCUCCUACCUUUCUACAAUUAUAGGAAUUAUUGAAUUAUUGUAAAUUAAAUGUUUUCCAAUUUUUAAAAACAAAAAGUGUUUGCAUUCCAUAUAUAAAGCUAGCAGCAUAGAGCAUAUGAAUAAUAACAAUCUUAUUACAUCUUUUAGACAAACUUGUUAUGAUUAGGAGUGGUUUUUGAUAAAAAUGUUUAACUUUCUGUAUUCCAUUUUUUUCGUGAAUCCACCUGUCGAAAAGAAUAAUGGUAGUCUAAGAUUUACCUCACUUCCAACAAUGUCAUCCAUGAGCCUAGAAAUAAUUGAAGCAGCUUCAAUAAUUUUUGGGUGGCUCGUUGCCCAUAUGAGGACCUCCUCUGUUGUGUCUUCCAUGCCCAAGAAAGAUACAGUUGUCAACAUAGCAUAAGUGCUUGUCACAGUUGCAACUUUCAUAUACUCUUCAACUGUUGGUGUGUGGUUGGAAUUAAACCACCUUGCCUCAAUAAGAUGUGCCUGUACUAGUCUUUUCAUCUGUAAUUAAAAAUACAAUUUAUAUAUAUAUAUGACGUUGUUUGGUUCUUUUUGUUUGUUAAAAGAAUCUUUUGCUAUAUUUGGUAUCAUAGUAAUCGGUUACCCAAUAAGGACAUCUCGUCUACAUGGAAAACAAAAAGAUAAGGUUUAGGUUUUAUACAAGUUUAUUUAGUUAAAGAGUUUAGUCCGUAAACCAUUCAAAAAACAUAUUUUAAACUCAACAUAUCCUCAAGUAUUCAAAUAAAUAUAAAUAAUUUUUUUCUUAGAACAAAUACUAGUAUAUUAAAUUUCUUAUAAUGCAUAAAAAUCGUAUCAUGACUUAAACAAGAUGAUUAUAGGAAAAACAAUGAAUUGAAAAAUAAAACUCAUUCAGUUUGGAACUUCAUUAAGACAAAUUUUCAAAUAAAUAAUUUAUUAUGCUAUAGGAGAUGCAUUAUUUAUAGGGAAUGCAUAUCUUACAUACAAUGAUAAAAGAAAAAACACUAAGAAAUUUUUUUUAUCAAGAGUUAUUUUUGUUAUUAUUAACGAUUUUAGUCUCCCAAAAAUACAUUUUUUACAGUUAGAAAAAUCGUCGGGGAAAAAUAUUGUUGGUAAAGUGAUUACUUGCAGUAUACCAAUGGUCUUAUUUGGUGAAAAUCCAAUAAAUUCAUUAACCUUUAAAAGACUUAUAAAGAGUUCUAAACAAGUUCAUUCGUCGUAUAAGACAUUGAUACAAGUCAUAGACCUUUAAAUAUUAUGCAUCAAGUGAAUAAAUCAUAUACUUAGUUUAUUUAUACUAAAGAUCAAGCUUAGGUAUACUAAACUGUUAAAUUAUUUGUCUAAGAACAGAUGAAAAUUAACAUUUUCAUUAAAGACUUUAUAAAUUUUUAAGACGUGAUGUUAAUUUUUAAUGGAAAAAAACAUAUUGGAGUGCGGUGAACGCAAGCUUGUUGAAAUUAACCAAAAAAGUGAAUUGUCUAAUUUUCAAAACAUGAUAUUAGAAUUGGAAUCUUUGGGAGGAAAUAUACUAUAAAAAUAUAGUACAAAUAUGAAUAAAAGUUAAUAAACUCAUUUAAGAUUAUGACACCAUAUUUAACAAUAAAAUCUUUAAAAUAACUGGUUAAAUAUGUUACUUUUCUAUUCUUUUCUUCUUAACGUGAAAUUUCAAGCUACAUUUUAUUUUACUAUUAUGGACUUAAUUGUAGAAAAUGAAAGACUAUUUUUAUUUUUUAAUUUUUAAGGUAUCUAAUAUGUAAUUUUAUGACCAAAUAUAUAUAAGGUAUCUAAUAUGCAAUUUUACUUAAUUUGAUAAGUCCAAUUAAAAGAUAAACUUCUAAAAGUAACAAUAAUAAAUAAAGAAAUAAAAGAAAAAACUUAACCGUACUUCUUUUUUUGCAUACUUGACGAAGUUUUCUUUUCCCCGCUUUCUCAACUCAUGCUCUGUUUCUUCAAAAAUUUUCAAAAGUUCCUUGUAACAUAAUCUCAUAUAUUCUGGGAGAUCAAUUAAUGAGGAGAUAUCCCACCUGCUAAUCAUUAGAAAGUUUACCUUAUAUUUAUUUAAAUAAGAUAAAAACGAUACUAGAUUGAAAAAUAAGAUUAAAAAGACCUUUCUAUUGCAUUGGUGAAAAUCUCUAGUUCAUCAAUGGUUCCAUAGGCAUCAUACACAUCAUCAAUGAUGGAUGAUAUGGCUAUUACUUUCCUCAGUAUUCUUCUAGCAAGACAAUACUGCUGCUCAUAAUAAACUCCAACAAUCCAAAAGCAACCUUCUAUAAUCCUAUCUCGUACAAAAGGAAAAUUGGUGGAGACAUUCAAAUCCUUAAGCCACCACCNGAACAAGAAAAUCCCAAAUUAAUUUCUCAAUGAAGUCUUAGACUUGGCUUUACUUAUUUACUUUUCAUUUAAUAAUAAAAUUUAACUUUUUGGAGGAAAAUAUUACUUGGUCACAGUGCUGACUUCUUUUCGAUAGAGCUUCUGCAACAUAUUAAAGUCUAGAUUUGCAAAGGUUAAUAAACAUUCAUUAUGUGAAGGAUCUUGUUGGUAGAAAGAUAUAUAAUAUCUUGCAUCCAACCUAAGCAUUCCCUUGCGAAGUGCUUGUCCUAUGCUAUCACUAGUGGAAAAACGCUGUUUAACGUCGGUUAUUUUGGGCUUUUGACGUCACUUACGAAACCGACGUCUAUUCCCAUGAAUCUAGUUGUUUGUUACACUAAAAUGACAAACUAAAUAUAGUCAAGAAUUAAGAUCAUUGACUAACGAAAAUAAAUGAAUUAAAACUAUAAAUGCACCAAACCUUGGGAUACAAGACUUGAUUUAGCUGACCUCGAGAUUUACCCAUUACUCUAUUUACAUUAAAACAGAAAGUAAUAUGAAUAUAACUAUGAAAUCAUAAAAAAUUAAGGCCUACAUGAAUUUAAAAGUCAUUUUUAGCAAUACACUUACCCUUGAAGCAUGGUUUUCAAGUUAUUUUUCAUCUUCCUUUGGAGCAAACAGAAGAAGACAACUGUACUUUGUUUGGGAAUGAGGACCACCAGCUGCCAGUGAGCCCUGUUUGGAACAUCAUAAAUAGUUAGUAAACUAAUUAAGGAAAAAUUUAAUUACCUUUUACAUUAAACAACACAUACCCAUCAAUGUAUGGCACAAGGUAUAUGUCUCUGUUUGACUCAGCCAUCCAUUUGCAAAUAAUCUUGUUUGAUUUGAGUUGUCAUACCACAACGUUCAAUGGUCUGAGGUUCAACAAAUCCGUAAACGGAAGACUGACCUUGGUCUACAAUGACGGUGUCCAUGUACCUAUAACAAUAAAGUUAACUUGUUACAAAGUAGGCAUCUAACUUAAACUAUUAUGGUUGACAAAAUUAACUGUCUUACAUGCACCAGAGUUGAAGAACGAAAACAUUCAACUCUUUGUCUCCCUGGAUGAUCUCCGAUACAUCAUUGAAUGUGAUAUAUACUGGCAUAUGGGGAGGGAGACCAAAUACUCGUAAUUCCCAGUAUAUUUGUAUUGAUCCUUUGUUGAACUUGAGAAGGUUUGCCAGUAGCUUUGCUAUGGGAUUAUCUUCUGCUUCAGCCGUGUCAUCACCAUCAUCAGCAUCAUCAUAUUCAGGUAUUGGUGCGUCAUGCAUCGGCUGCUUUUGAGGACAUGUGAACUGAACAUAAAAUUUUCAAAGUUAUGAACAAAUAUUUUUAAUUGAUAAUUGUUAAGUCCCUGCCAAGUGUACCAGAUCGUUAUCAAGUAAUAUAAACGGGUAAGUCCGAGUAUCGUUUUCCCAAAGGACUCUUAGGCCUUAAUUUCACGUAACCUAAUCGCAUAAGACUUGAGAAUAAAUUUGGUGGUGAUAUACGAAGAAGAAAAAUAAACAUGCAUACUUUCUUAAUUAACUUAUUUAUCUAAUUGCCAUGCAUACUUUCUUAAUUACCCUUAACCCAAUCCCUUGGUAAAAAGAGCCUAUUACUAAUUACCAGCUUGCUAUCCCUAGCCUCCCCUAGUAACCAAUAAUGCAAUGUGAUCGGAAGCAAUUACAAUUGAUCGUCCUACCCCUAUCCCUAGGCGAUAUUGGCAUAAUCAAGGAAUUUCCCACCAGUUCAUGACAUUACCGUUGAUGAAGGUUGAAAAACAGUUAUUUUCAUAUGUCANUUUAGACCAAAUUACACCCUUUACUACCUAGAAUGAGCUUAGAAUCAAGCAAAACUCAAUAAAUGAGUCUGUAGAGAGUCAAAAGCUAUUUUUAGCGAUAUUAUGCUUGUUUUGCAUUGUUUUGAGCAUUUCUGAGAAAAUGAAGAAUGGAGUUGAAGAUAAAGGUCGUAGACUCAAGAAAAGAGAAGAAAAUUGAAGAAUUGAAGAGUCGACGCACCGCCCGGCGGUAAAUUCCACCGUCGAGCGGUCCAGGGUGAGGAGUAGGCACCUGGCGUUGGCGCUGGGCGGAUUUGCGAUUAGAGGGAAACCGCCGGGCGGUACUGCAAUUUGUGGGAAACCGCCGGGCGCCACACUUGUUUCGCCGAGCGGUUGUCUGCUAGGCUUGGGCCUGUUUUCUAUUGCGCUCCUCACCUAUAAAUAGCCCUUCUCCUCUAGUGAUUGUGGUGCCUGAUUGGGAUAAAGAGUUUGAACUGAUGUGCGAUGCUAGCGACUAUGCUAUAGGUGUUGUGCUAGGACAGAGAAGAGGAAAGGUUUUUCAUGCUAUUUAUAAUGCUAGCAAAGUGCUAAAUGAGGCACAACUGAAUUAUGCCACCACUGAAAAGGAAUUCUUAGCCAUAGUGUACUCAUUGGAGAAAUUCAGAUCAUAUCUCGUUGGAUCUAAGGUGAUCAUUUAUACAGAUCAUGCANCUAUAAAGUAUUUACUGACGAAACCUGAUUCGAAGCCAAGAUUGAUUAGAUGGGUACUUUUGCUACAAGAAUUUGACGUAGAAAUUCGUGACAAAAAGGGGAGUGAAAAGGUGAUUGCUGAUCAUUUAUCCCGGUUAGUCAAUGAGGAAGUGACAAGCAAGGAGAAAGUAAUUUGGGAAUCAUUUUUAGAUGAAGCUCAUUUGUAUAUUCAGCAAAGACCUUGUUUUGCUGAUUUAGCCAACUUCAAAGCCGCAGGUGUUAUUCCGGAAGGAUUCAAUUGGCAACAGAAAAAGAAGUUUUUACAUGAUGCUAAACAAUUCAUUUGGGAUGAUCCAUAUUUGUUCAAGAUAGGAGCAGAUAAUUUGUUGAGAAGAUGUGUUACUGAAGCAGAAGCAGAAGAUAUUUUGUGGCAUUGUCAAAAUUUUCCUUAUGCAUGUCAUUAUAAUGGAGAACGCAUUGCCGCGAAAAUUUUACAAGCAGGAUUUUAUUGGCCGACUUUGUUUAAAGAUGCUCAUAAUCAUGCUCGAAGCUGCGACAAAUGUAAGAGGACAGGGACCAUCUCAAGGAGGCAUGAGAUGCCACUACAGGGCAUUUUGGAAGUUGAAGUUUUUGAUUGUUGGGGUAUUGAUUUUGUGGGACCAUUUCCUCCAUCAUUUAAUAAUGAAUAUAUUUUGGUAGUUGUUGAUUAUGUGAGUAAGUGGGUUGAAGCUGUAGCAUGUCCUAAGAAUGAUUCUAACACCAUGAUCAAAUUCUUAAAAAGACAAAUCUUUUCACGUUUUGGAACUCCCAGGAUUCUCAUCAGUGAUGGGGGGUCUCACUUCUGCAAUGCUCAGCUAGCUAAGGUACUUAAGCAUUAUGGGUUGAAACAUAAGGUAGCUGCGCCUUAUCAUCCGCAGACAAGUGGCCAAGCUGAAGUUUCUAACAGGGAAAUCAAAAGAAUUUUAGAAAAGACUGUCACUUUUUCAAGAAAAUAUUGGUCACAGAAGUUAGACGAUGCUCUCUGGGCAUAUAGAACUGCCAUGAAAACUUCUAUGAGGUUAUCGCCUUUUCAGUUAGUCUGUGGAAAAGCAUGUCAUUUGCCAGUUGAAAUGGAACACAAAGCUCGGUGAGCUUUGAAAUUUUUGAACUUUGACCCUGAUAAGGCUCAAGGGAAACGAGGCAACCAGCUGCUAGAACUUGAAGAAAUGCGGUUGCAUGCUUAUGAAUCAUCCAGGACUUACAAAGAUAAUGUGAAGUUCUAUCAUGACAAGAAGUUGAUAAAGAGAACUUUCCACCAGGGGAUUUGGUUCUUUUAUUCAAUUCGCGGCUAAAGUUACUCCCCGGGAAACUGAAAUCAAAAUGGUCGGGACCUUUUCUGGUUAAACGUGUAUUCCAAAGUGGAGCAGUGGAAUUAGAAUCGUCGACUGAUGAUAAUCCGCAACGGAGCUGGAUUGUGAAUGGCCAAAGGCUCAAACACUAUGUGGGAGGAGAUGUGGAGCAAUUUGCCUCAGUCAUGAUGUUGGGAGAUUGAUGAGUCGAUAUUUUAUUGAUUUCACUUAGAUUGUUGUGCUAGAAUUAAUCAGCGAAUUGUGCUUAAUUGUCCGGUAUUUUCCCGUUUUUCCUAAUUAUGCUUAAUUUGACCGGAAAUUCUAAUUUUAAUUAAUUUGAAUUUUCUGAGCUAAUUAUUUGCAUUAUUAUUUUAAGGGAAAAUUUUGGAAACACAAUUUGGGACAUUUGGAGGAGACAAAAUAAAUUCAAGAUUCUUCCAUAAGCGUUUUAGAAUUAGUUGUAUUUUAAUUUAGUAGUUUAGAAUUUUUAAACAAACUUUAACAUUGUGGGCCAAUUUUUGGUAUUUUUUGUUGAGCCCAAUAGUAAAAAAAUAGACACAUGGCACCCUAAGGUUGGGUGGACCCCACCCUAAUUUUUGAGACACCUUGCUUCCACCCACACCUUUUACUUUUUUUUCUUUUUAAAGCUUUCUUGAAGGUACCGUGAAUGAAUCAUUAGAAAUUUCUUUGCUUUCAAUUUGAAGUUUGCUGAAGCAUGGGUCACAUCAACUUUAAUUGCACAUUGCAAUUUUAUUUUUUUUUAGUUUAAAAGUGGCUGAAUUUUAUUUGUUUUGCUGCACCAAAUUGUCUUGUGAUUGAAUGAGAAGUUGAUUAGAUGGGAGUAGGUAAAUGGUGUAUGAUGAUUUACUUUGAAAGAAGUUUUUGGGUUUUCAAUUGGAAGUUUGAAUGGUCACGGCUGCAGAGGAAUUUGGGAAGCAUUCUUCUUCUUUCUUCAACGUAGAAAAGUGGUGCAUUUAUUUUACUCAAUUUUGAUUAAAAAAAUGAAAGCACGGGGUGGUCUGGCUGGCAGCAUUCGACACAUUCCUUUUUCUUUUUUUUUAUUUGCUUAAGUAGAACCUGUUAUUGGGCGAAAAAAAAAUUGGCAACAUUAGGUGACGUUAAAUGAGGCUUUCAUUGCUAGAGUUAGAUGCAGGUGUGCGGUGCAAGGAAUUGUCAUGGCUUGGAUUAAUUGUCUUUGCAAAAGUCACGUCCUAGUAAGGUGCAGCGCCACCAUUUAGAUAAUCAUUGAUUGAAAGCUUUCUUAUAUUAAGGUGCAUUUCUUAUUUUAUUUGGAGAAUAGUAGAGUCACGGUUUGGAUGAAAGAAGUACAUGGUAAUUAACAUUUUGGAGAAAGAAAAUUAAUUCAUCUUGGUUUUUAAAAUUAAUUCAUCUUGGUUUUUAGUCAUCGGUUUUAUUCCCGCAAUAUGGAUUUUAUUUCUUUUAGAUCAAGUGUUGCAUUUAAAUUGCCUUAAUUAUGUCUGGAUAUUUGUCUAUUGUACUAUUGGAUUUAGCAUUUUCUUUUACUUUAAUGUUGUCUAGUUUUUUCGGUUGUGCUUAAUUUCCAUGCAUUUUAAUUGAGUUUAAUUCUCAUGUCAAACACCUUCAAACCCCCNNNNNNNNNNNNNNNNNNNNNNNNNNNNNNNNNNNNNNNNNNNNNNNNNNNNNNNNNNNNNNNNNNNNNNNNNNNNNNNNNNNNNNNNNNNNNNNNNNNNNNNNNNNNNNNNNNNNNNNNNNNNNNNNNNNNNNNNNNNNNNNNNNNNNNNNNNNNNNNNNNNNNNNNNNNNNNNNNNNNNNNNNNNNNNNNNNNNNNNNNNNNNNNNNNNNNNNNNNNNNNNNNNNNNNNNNNNNNNNNNCUAUGUGUUAGACUUAAUUCUCGAACCGCAAAAUUGGUCCUUGAGAGACGACCUAGGGUCAUUCCCUAGUCUAUACUGCAUUCUUUUAUGCACAUCAAAUUUGUAUGGGCCGCGACACCCAUCAGAGAUCCAUGAGGUUUGGGUCAGACUCGUGUCGUUAAACAAGCGCUACUAGGAGGCAACCUAGUUUUCUCUCUCUUACUUUUACUUUUUAAAUUUCUAGAAUAGGUUGAAUUUUAAUUUCAGUGUGUAUCCUUGGCUUNAAUACUUUUUCUGAAAAUGUUUGACUGACUGAUGUGCAUGAUGGAACUAUUUGAUGUGGAUGAUUAUUGAGUUGUGUUGUGUGUGAAUUAUGAUUGUGGUUAUGAUGCUAGGCAGGGUGUAUGAAUGAAUUUUGUGUGAGAAAGCAUGUUGUGAGAGGUAUUGAGCUCCAGAGUUUUUAUUGUUGUAUGCAUUGUUCACAGGAAAAAAAUGAAUGAUAUUGCCUUAAUCUUGAUGAUUGAUUGAAUUGCAUGUGAAUGUCAUAUGAUCAAGGCCAUUUUUGAGAACCCUUCUCUAGCCAAAUUUUCACCCAAAGUGCUUGAAAAUAUUAUACCCUUUUUGAACCUUAGCCUUAAACAGGUUGUGAACCCUUGUCUUGAAAUUCUUUACCUUGAGUUGGGAUGAGUUUAAUUGUAUGCGAUGAAAAGGGUCAAGUUUGGGGUUGUAUGGGGGAAAACUGAAAAGCAAGAUGAGAAGCAUUGAGCUCAAAUGUUGUCAAAAGAAAAAAAUUCAUGAGAAAAAGAAAAAAAAAAGAAGAAAAGCAUCAAGAUGAGCUCAAUGAAAAAGAAAAAGGGAAAAAGUUGGAAAUAGAUGAGAUUGGUCAGGAAGAGAGUUGUGCUUAAAUGAAGAAUAUUAUUAUAGCUCUCUUGAUUCAAGGACUUUGUAUUCCAGAAAAACCAAUUUUUCUUGGUAGCCCAACCUCAUUACAAGCCUUGGAAAAGUCCUUUUGAUGACAUUUGCAUGUAAAGAUGUUGAUUGUUUGAGACGAAAGGCAAUUUUGUUUCGUGUGACUUGUGAAUAAUAGAGAGUGAAGUGUCACCAUAAACACUUGAGUGAUUGAGUGAAACACUUGCUUGGUAUGAACUGUUAAUUUUCAUGAGUGCAUUUUUGCUUAGUGGAUUGAUCAUUCAUAAUGUGUAACAUCUGUUGUGCAAUCUUUGGAUUAAAAGCAUGCAUGCACCUUAUUUUGAUUUCAUUGAAGAUCUGAGAUUAAGUAGUGUUUGUCAUGUACUUUGGGAAUGUUGAAACAGUGGAUGAAAUAGUAUAAAGCGAAGCUUUGUUUUGUGUGUUAUUUUAUUUUGUUUGCUUGAGGACAAGCAAAGUUCUAAGUUUGGGGUGUUGAUGAAGGUUGAAAAAUAGUUAUUUUCAUAUGUCAUUUUAGACCAAAUUACACCCUUUACUACAUAGAAUGAGCUUAGAAUCAAGCAAAACUCAAUAAAUGAGUCUGUAGAGAGUCAAAAGCUAUUUUUAACGAUAUUAUGCUUGUUUUGUAUUGUUUUGUAGCAUUUCUGAGAAAAUGAAGAAUGAAGUUGAAGAUAAAGGUAGUAGACUCAAGAAAAGAGAAGAAAAUUGAAGAAUUGAAGAGUCGACACACCGUCUGGGCGGUCCAGGACGAGGAGUAGGCACCUGGCGUUGGUGUUGGGCGGAUUUGCGAUUAGAGGGAAACCGCCGGGCGGUAGACCCCUGCCGUCGGGCGGUACUACGAUUUGUGGGAAACCGCCAGGCGCCACACUUGUUCCGUCGGGCGGUUGUCUGUUGGGCUUGAGCCUAUUUUCUGUUGCUCUCCUCACCUAUAAAUAGCCUUAUUGCGAGUUUAGAUGCAUUCUUUUGACAAAAGGGGGCGGCCAAACCUAAUUUCACUCUCUGGAGAGGAUCUCAUGGAUGCUUAGGCUCCUUUUCAUCUUUUCUAGGGUUUGCUUUUCCAUUCUUCUUCCAUUUUUCAUCUAGUUUCACCAUGNNNNNNNNNNNNNNNNNNNNNNNNNNNNNNNNNNNNNNNNNNNNNNNNNNNNNNNNNNNNNNNNNNNNNNNNNNNNNNNNNNNNNNNNNNNNNNNNNNNNNNNNNNNNNNNNNNNNNNNNNNNNUAAUGUCAUGAACUGGUGAGUAAUUCCUUGAUUAAGCAAUACCACCUAGGGAUAGGGGUAGGACGAUCAAUUGCUUUUAACUUCUGCUCUAUAAUGUUUUAUUAAUUGCUAGGGGAGGCUAGGGAUAGCAAGCCAGUAAUUAGUAAUAGGCUCUUUUCACCGAGGGAUCAGGUUAAGGGUAGGCUAAGAAAGUUGCAUGACAAUUAGUUAAUCAAGCUAAUAAUUCAAGAGGAGUAAAUAAGAGAGAGCGGAUAAGAUGAAAUUGUAAACCCCCAACAACUCCAUUCAUCCAUUGUAUUCUUCUCGUUAAUUGAAUCAAUCUCUUUUGCAUGUUCAUAUUUUAUUUUCACACCCGAUUAAUUAAUUUUUAUUUUCAAGUCUUACGAUCUUAAUUCACACGAACGAUAAGGCCUUUCGAGUCUCUUGGGAAAACGAUACUUGGACUUACCAUUUAUUAUUACUUGGUAUGAUUUGGUACGCUUGCCAAUCCGUUAUCAACUGUACGUCCCCAUAUCGACAAAAACAAACAUCUUUUACUGAAUGAGUUAAACAAUAAAAGCAUUGAGCAUAUAUGGGAACCCAACAAUUGAUAAACAAGUAUAUGACAAGCAUAUGAAAUAAAUAAGAAUUUGAAUAUAUGAGAGUUUCAAAAGAUUACAUUGUUCCCCAACAACAAAGGGUUUAGUUCACCAUAAUCAUGGUGAAACUAGAUGAAAAUAAUGAAAGAAUGGAAGAAAUAACCCUAAACUGUGUUGAAUGGAGCCUAAGCAUCUAAGGAACCUCCUCCAAGGUGUGUGGAAUAGCUCUGGACAUUUCUCUCUGCCCAAAAGAAUCCCUAUCUAAUUCACACUGAGGCUAUAUAUAAGCCCAAAAAGAUAACAGAUGGAUUACAGAAAGAUUUACAGAAUCUAACUAAAAAAAUGGAUAACCGCCCAGACGCCUAAUUUGACCGCUCAGCGGUUUGCCUCUUGCCGCUCUGACCGCUCAGUGGUCAGUUUUGCCGCUGAGCGGUUUGCCUCUAAUCGCUCUGAGCGCUCAACGGACCAUUCUGGCGCUCAACAGUUUGUUUGACCCUUCUUUUUUUCAUUUUUCUCCUUCUUUCAUGGGUCUAAGUCCACCUUACUUCACUUCCAUCUUUAUUUCAUCUAAAAACCCUGCAAAACAAUGCAAAACAAGCAUAAUAUCGCUAAAACCAACUUUUGACUCUCAAGAGACUCAACUAAGUGUUUUACUUGAUUUAAAGCUCAUUCUAAGCCAUAAAGGGUGUGUUUUUCUAUGAAAUUUAAGUAUGAAAACAACGGUUUUUAGACUGUUAUCACAACCCCAAACUUAGAACUUUGCUUGUCCUUAAGCAAACAAGAAAAAACUUGCCAUUCCACUUUUUCAUCAAAUAAUUCACACUUUCAAAAUUCCUUUUUCUCAUGACAAGUUAUUAUACAAUUUCAAAUUUCAGUGGAAUCCUACAAAGAUGCAUGCAUGCUUUCAAUCCAAAUUAGUUCACAUAAUCAAUCUUUUUUUUAACAGAGGUUUUGUUUCAUGAAUGAUCAAUCAACUAAACAUGGAUGUAAGCAUGGAUUUAACAAUUCUCACCAAGCAAGUGUUCCACUCAAUCACUCAAGUGUUUAAGGAGGUCACUCUACUCUCUACUGUUCACAUGUCACAUAAAACAAUAUUGUCAUUCAUCUAAAACAAUCAACAUCUUUCACAUGCACAUGUCAUCACAAGGAAUUUUUCCAAGGCUUGUAUUGUGGCUGGGUGAUGAAGGUUGAAAAACAGUUAUUUUCAUAUGUCAUUUUAGACCAAAUUACUCGCUUUACUACUUAGAAUGAGCUUAGAAUCAAGCAAAACUCAAUAAAUGCGUCUGUAGAGAGUCAAAGAUGAAGGUCGUAGACUCAAGAAAAGGGAAGAAAAAUGAAGAAAUGAAGAGUCUAGGAACCGCCCAGCGGCAGAAACAUGCAUUUUUAGCAGGCUUACUUAAAUCAAUAAAUCCCUUAGCAUUGCUUCUGUUAGGUUUAGCUUUGUAUCCUAUUCCUUGCCUGUAUAUAGCUCUGCCAGAGGAUUUCAAAACAACAUUUAAAUUGUCUCUACCUUGAGUAAACUUAGCUAGCGUGCUAGUCAAGUAAUUUAUCUUUUCAAUGUGAGCAGGACAAUUUUCAGAAGGGUUUUCUACUAUAACAGUUUCAAUUUUAUUAUCUUUAGCAGAUAACAAAGCAUAAUUUAAUUCUUUCUCUAAUUUUUCAUUUUCAGCAACAAGGUUGUUAAUCCUAUAUUCAUAAUCUCUUCUCUCAGAGUUCAGUCGAUUAACCAUAUACUAUAGUCGCAUUGCUUCAGCAUGUAGUUCUUGAAAAGCAUCUCGCAACAGAUCAUACUUGAUUUCAACUGGUUCAUUUAAGAUGUCUGUAUCAAAAAUCGUCUGAUGUUACUCCAGUCAUAUAGCACAAGUUGGAUUCCUCCUCUUGACCAGCAUCUUCAUCCUUUGAGCUUUCAUAAUCUAUAUUCUCCCAAGCAAUGUAUGCUCCUUUUCUUUUCAUAUUUCUACGUUGAGGGAACAUUUUCUUUCCUUUCUGUUUAGGCUUUAAUUUUGGACAUUCAGGCUUGAUAUGUCCUUGUUUCCACACUUGUAACAUUGGACAACAUUUGUACUGAAGUUUUUCUUUUUGCCUUGACCUGCAUGGUUAGUCAAUUGACUAUCAUUAUGUAUAAGGCGACUAAAUUUUCUUACCAUCAAGGUCUGUUAACACCCUGGCAAGUGUACCAGAUCGUAUCAAGUAAUAAUAAAACGGUAAGUCCGAGUGUCGUUUUCCCAAGAGACACAGGGCACUAAACUCUUGUGCUUUUGCUUAACCAAUCAAGACUAUAAGAACAAUAUUUUGGGGUUUUUGAAUAUAAAGUUCAGGAAAAUAAAUAUGAAUGCAAUUUAAUUAAUUGAGGUUAAACACAAAAGUGGAUGGAUGAUGUUGAUAAUAUGAGAUGAGUUUGUUGUUAGGGUUUAGAUUUCACCUAAUCACUCUCAUAUAUCUACUAUUCUUAUAUGUUAUCAAUGUUUAUGCAACUUUCUAAUUUACUCUAAACCCGAUCCCUCGGUAAAAAGAGCCUAUUACCAUAAUUACUAGUUUACUAUCCCUAGUCUCCCUAGCAAUUACUACUGCAUUAAUCCCAUAAGCUUAAAGCGAUUGACCGCCCUACUCCUAUCCCUAGGCAGUAUGUCAUAAUAGAGACAAUUCUUCCCAGUUCUAGAUUUCUCCGUACGUCCCCAUAUCGACAAAAUCAAAGAUCAUGACACCGAAUGAGUUAAAUGAUGCAAGCUUUAUUCGACAGAGAAGAAAACCUAAAACUAUUGAUAACAAACGUAUAUGAAUAAAAUAAGAACUUCGAUAUAUGAGAGUUUAGAGGUUACAUCUAUUCCCUAGCAACAAAUAAAAUUAGUUCUCCAUCGUCAUGGAAGAAGUAGGUGUACAAUGGAAUGAAAGAGAUAGAAACCCUAGAAAGAGGAGAGGAGAGUUGUCAAUUCCCAAAAUAUGCCCCCAAAGGGGUGAAAAAUGUUUCUGUGCCUAAGCCAUCAAUAGAUACAUUCUCUAAGACGUUUUGGCCUUUAAAUAGGGCAUAAAAAUAACAGAAAACGGGACCAGGCCCAAAACAGAUCAUAAAAAUAACAAAAAAACAGGCCCAAGUCCAAGCAAAUGGCUAUCAACGCUCAAACCACCGCUCAACGGUAGGUGUGGCACCCAGAAUCACCCCCCUACGGUACCCAGGUGUCAAUACAGUGAAAAUUGGUCCCAAAGCUAGCGCUCAGCGCCCAAUUCACCGCUCAACGCUACCUUUUCUGCAUUCUGGUCAACUCUGGUCAACUUUUCAGCAUUUUGGUUGACUUUUCUGGUUGACUAGUUGACUUUUCUGCAUUCUAUUUGACUUUACUGCACGGUAACUCCUUGAUACUUCAGCCCUACUUUCAAAUCAUUCCAAUAACCUACAAAAUCAAGGGAAUUUAUUGAUAAAAUCAUAAAGUAUAACCUCAACUCUAUUAUUCACAAAAGUAAAGCAAAAUCAUGAGUCAAAGCAAGUUUAUAAGUCAACAAGGGUGCAUUUGAUAUCAAAAUUAAAUAUAAAAAUAACGGUUUUUGAACCGUUAUCACAACCCCAAACUUGAAACUUUGCUUGUCCUCAAGCAAACAACAUGAAACUUAGUCUUCCAUAAACCAACACAAUGGUUCAAUCACAUUCAAAAGGUCUUUCUUUCAAGAUAAGUAAUCACUCAAGUCAACUCAUCAAUAGAAUUUAGUCAACAUGUGCAUGUGCUUUGCUUCAAAUUACUCAUCAUGGUGUUCACAUAAUCACAUAAUCUUCUAAAAAAUGCUCUUAUCAUGAAUGAUCAAUUAGCUAAGCAAAGAUAUAACCAUAGAUUCAUGGAAUUAUUCCUCAACAGUCAAGGUGUUUCACUCAAUCACUGAUAACGGUUGAAAAACAGUUAUUUUUAGCGAUAUUAUGGCUUAGAAUGAGCUUAGACUCAUGCAAAACUCAAAAAAAUGAGUCAGUUGAGAGUGAAAAGUUGUUUUUAGCGAUAUUAUGCUUGUUUUGUAUUGUUUUGCAACAAUUUUGAUGAAAGUAAAGAUUGGGGUUAAAAAUGAAAGUUUUAGACUGAAGACAGAGGAAGAAAACUGAAGAAAAGAAGAGUCUAGGAACCGCCCAGCAGCAAAAUUCACCGUUGGGCGGUCCAAUGCGAGGAAGUGGCACCAGGCAUGGACACUGGGCGGAUUUGCGACUAUGGGCAAACCGUCGGGCGGCAAUCCCCCACCGUUGGGAGGUGGCGCGAUAAUGGGCAAACCGCCGGGCGGCAUAAGUGUGACGUCGGGCGGUUGUCUGCUGGGCUUUGGCCUGUUUUCUGUGACGCUCCUCAGUUGUAAAUAGCCCUGUUGCGACUUAAGAUUCAUUCUUUUGAUAGAAACGGGUGACCAGACCUAAUUUUCACUCCUUAGAGAAGAUCCCUUGGAUGCUUAGGCUCCUUUUUAUCCUAUCUAGGGUUUGCUCUUCCAUUCUUCCAUCAUUUUUAAUCUAGGUUCACCAUGACAAUGAUGAACUAAACCCUUUUGUUGUUGGGGGAAACCAUGCAAUCUUUUGAUACUCUCUUUUAUUGAAACUCUUGUUUAUUUAUAUGGUCUCCAUAUGCUUUGAUUGUUAAUUGUUGGGUUCUCAUCUGUGCUUAAUGCUUUUAUUGUUUAACUCAUUUGAUAACUGUUGUUUGUCUUUAUUGAUACGGGGACGUACGGUACUAUCAUGAAGUGGUGAGAAAUUCNNNNNNNNNNNNNNNNNNNNNNNNNNNNNNNNNNNNNNNNNNNNNNNNNNNNNNNNNNNNNNNNNNNNNNNNNNNNNNNNNNNNNNNNNNNNNNNNNNNNNNNNNNNNNNNNNNNNNNNNNNNNNNNNNNNNNNNNNNNNNNNNNNNNNNNNNNNNNNNNNNNNNNNNNNNNNNNNNNNNNNNNNNNNNNNNNNNNNNNNNNNNNNNNNNNNNNNNNNNNNNNNNNNNNNNNNNNNNNNNNNNNNNNNNNNNNNNNNNNNNNNNNNNNNNNNNNNNNNNNNNNNNNNNNNNNNNNNNNNNNNNNNNNNNNAUUCAUCCAUAGUCUUUUUCUUGUCAACUGAAUCAAACGCAUUGCAUGUUUAUUUUGUGUUCUUGCAUACGCAACAAUUAAUUUUCUUUACAAGUCUUACGAUCUCAAUUCACACGAAUGAUAUUCGAGUCUCUUGGGUAGAACGAUAUCGGGCAUUACGGAUUUUAUUACUUGAACGAUCUGGUACACUUGCCAGUGAGUCAACAAUCACCCAAGUGUUUCACUUAAAGGUGUACAAAGGUCACUUCGUCCCUCUACUAUCCACAUGUCACAUAGAACAAAAUUGCCUUUCAUUUACCACAAUCAAACAUCAUCACAUACACAUGUCAUCACAAGGACUUUUCAAGGUUUAUAUUGUGGUUAGGCUAACACGAAAAAUUGGUUUUUCUAGAUCACAAAACCCUUGAGUUAAGAGAGUUAUUUAUACAUUCAUAAUUCAAUCACAAACUCUCUUUUUAACCAAUCAAUAUUACUCCCAACUUUCCCCUUUUUGCAUUGAGCUUUUCUUUCAUUCUAUCUUUUUCAUCUUUUUCUAUCUUUUUCACUUUUGCUCAACACAUUAGCUCAAUGCUUUCUUUUUCUCUUUCAACUUUCCCAACAACCCCAAACUUGAAAUUUUAUCAGUACCAUGCAAUAAUUCUCAACUUAACUCAAGGUACAAAUUUUUUCACAAGGGUUUUCAUCUUGUUUAAGGCUUAGGUUCAAAAAGGGUAGAACAUAAAAUGUUCCUUGUUCAUAUGGGACGAAAUUUUUGGCUACAAAAGGGCUUUUCAAAAAUGGCCUUGAUCAUAUGACACAUACAUGCAAUUCAAUCAAUCACAGAAGCUCAGGCAAAAUCAUUCAUGCUUUCAAGUAGAUAACAAAUAUAUCAAUAAGAACUCUGGAGCUCAAAAACCUUACGCAAGCUUACUCCAAUCAUCCAAACAAAUACCCUACAAUAGCAAAACCACAAUGCAUCUAUUCACAUAGCUUGUGAACCACCACCUUUAUAUCAGCAUAUUGUGCAAUCUCAACAUCAUCAAUAUCAAAGCAUCAUCAAGCAAUACCCAUCAUGCAAAAAUAUUAGUAUAAAACCACUGCAUCAGAUAUAGUGUCCAACCAAGUACAUUAAUCCUAUAAUUCAAAUUACAAAACCACAAGAUAUAAAAAUCUUGUUCUAGUGCAAAUAUCAUCCAUCAGUACAUGUUAUCUCUUCUCCUUAUCUCCUUCUUCUUCAUCUUCAAAAUCAUCGUCCUCAUCAUCUUCCUCCAUAGUUGGAGCUUCAACUGCUCCAACUCUGAUUCCUUCCUCUUGUUCCCCACAGUCUUGAUCCUUUUUCCUAAUGAGGAGCCCAUCCAUGCAUCAAGUACAAUUCACAAAACCAUAAGGAAUCUCAUUAAACGUUAGUAGAACACAAAACUUCUCCCAAGGAAUGAGGAGGAAUCAACCCUAAAUAGUUGUGCUCUCACAACACCCCAAACUUGGAUGAAAAAGUGAUGCUACAACGGUGGAGGAAGUGUUUUCUAGAAGUGGGAUGACAGGAGAAGUGAUGGGAAAUCUUUGGAAGAGUGUUUGAAAGUGAAAGAGAUGUUGGGGAUCAUAAAGUAGACGUUUGGGAGAGCCCUAAGGGGUAUAAAAUUCAUGCAAUGGGCCAAGAAAAACAAAGACCAAAUUUAAAAACACUUUGACCCGUUGCCAUCGCCCAGCGGUGAGUUCACCGCCAAGCGUUAGGCACGAUUUGGCUUUUCCCCCUUUUUGCUUUGCUACAAAUGUCUUUUGUUAGCAAAAUGAUGAAGAUGAAGUUUUGAUGAUGCCCAAAUCAAGUCAAGAUUUAUCAAGAUUCAUGAAGAUCCUUUGAAGACUUAUUUUUGUUAUGAAAAGCUUUUGUAAUAAUUGUAGUUUAAUUGUUUAGGACUUAGAUUUGUAGUAGGUUUUGAUUCUUGUACCUUUCUACUUUGUAUUUGCUGUUUAGAAUCAAAACUUCUUCGUUUUAAUCGAUUAAUCCCUGAUAUAAUCGAUUAAAAUCGCUACAGAAGCCAGAACCCAAUCGGCUUUGGAAUAAUCGAUUGAAGCAAGUUUUAAUCGAUUAAUUAAUCGAUUAAUCCUGAGAAUAAUCGAUUAAUACUAGCCAUUGGAGGUUUCUGAUUUGAAAAACUAGCCGUUGUACUUAUUUUAAUCGAUUAACACUAAUAUUAAUCGAUUAAAUGUGUUAAAUGGCCAGCUUUUAUCCAUCAACAACAACUCUUCCCUUGCGCUAAAACACUCAGAACUCUUUGAGAAGUCUUGCUCAGCUAAAGAAACUCUUGUCUGUGGUGCUGGUACAUUGCAACUACGGUGACGGAGGAAUGGCUGGUUCAUCCUUAGUGCGUCUAAGGAGGAGUGUGGAAGAGGAUCAUCCUUCGUGAAGUAUUCGGAGGAGGUGUUUCAUCCUUCGUGAAGUAUUCUGAGAAGAUGUCUCAUCCUUUGUGAAGAUUCAAAGGAGGUGCAGGUUCAUCUCUUGUGGUAUCAAGAGAGGUGGUUUCUAAACUUUUACAAAUUAUUUUUCUUUGUGAUUAUUAUUUGUAAUUGUUUUGUGAUAGUGGACUGUUUAUCUCGGUUUGAGAUAAGUGACUGGACAUAGGAUUGGUAAGAUCUGAACCAGUAUAAAAAUCAUCUGUGCAAAUUUCUCUCAACCUUACUCUUUUAUUUAUAUUUAUUAUUUGCGUAGUAAGUGAAAUUGAGACGAAAUUAAAAGGCACACGUUUGAAUUAAAAACCCUCUUGGUUUGUUAUUCCACGCUAACAAUUUCGCUGCAGUCGAUUCUAACAUCUUUGACCCUGUAACCCUCAAUUUCAGCUUUCAAAUCUCAAGUUUCAUGCAAUUCCCACUCACAUAUGCAACAAUUAAGCCCUAAAUGCAACUAGAACAGUAUUAAAACAUGCAACACAAACAAAUCAAUCAACUGGGUUGCCUCCCAGGUAGUGCUUGUUUAACGUCACGAGCCUGACCCAAAAUCUUUCUAGCACCCAUCAAUAGGUGCAAACCUUACCAUCAUCCAUCAGUAGUUGUACCUUCCCGGUAUCCUUUAGUAGAUACCUAAAUCUUCUAGCAUCCCUCAGUAGAUGUUAUCCCAGUAGCAUUCAUAAGUAAAUGCUGUCAGUGACAUCCAUCAGUAGAUGUCUAUUCACCGUCCUUUUCUAUAGCAACAUCCAUCAGUAGAUGUUGUAGAAGCAUCCAUCAGUAGAUGCUAUCAUCACUGCCAUCAUAAGCAACAUAUAACCUAAAAAAAAAUCAAAUCCACACCACACAAAUAAUUCAAUUGAAAAGAAAAAGUUAGAAACUGAGUUUCCUCCUAGCAAGCGCUCUUUUAACGUCAUUACCUUGACUUGGUAAAGCCCAAACACCCAUAUGUAGGUGUUGAUGUUGGCGUUCUUCCUUCCUUCAUGACUGAUAACGGUCUAAAAACCGUUAUUUUCAUAUUUAAAAUUGAUAGUAAAACACACCCAUUAUGGCUUAGAAUGAGCUUUAAAUCAAGUAAAACACUUAGUUGUGUCUUGUGAGAGUCAAAAGUUGGUUUUAUCGAUAUUAUGCUUGUUUUACAUUCUUUUGCAGGGUUUUUAGAUGAAUUAGAGAUGGAAGUGAAGUAAGGUGGACUGAGACCCAUGAAAGAAGGAGAAAAAUGAUUAAAAGAAGGGUCAAGUGAGCCGCUGAGCGCCAGAAUGGUCCACUGAGCGCUCAGAGUGAUCAGAGGGAAACCGCUCAGUGGCAAAACUAACUACUGAGCGGUGAACUUAGGCGCCUGGGCGGUUAUCUGUUUUUAUUAGCUAGAUUCUGUAAUCUUUCUGUUAUCUUUCUGUUAUCUUUUUGGGAUUAUAUAUAGCCCUAGUGCGAAUCAAAAGGGGAUUCUUUUGGCAAAGAGAAACGUCCAGAGCUAUUCCACAUACCUUCAAGGAGGUUCCUUGGAUGCUUAGGCUCCAAUCUACCAAGUUUAGGGUUAUUUCUUCCAUUCUUUCAUCAUAUUUCAUCUAGUUUCGCCAUGAUUAUGGUGAACUAAACGCUUUGUUAUUGGGGAACAAUUUAAUCUUUUGAAACUCUCAUAUAUUCAAAUUCUUAUUUAUUUCACAUGCUUGUCAUAUACUUUUUUUUUAUCAAUUGUUGGGUUCUCAUCUUUGCUUAAUGCUUUUUAUGUUUAACUCAUUCAUUAAAAGUGGUUUGUCUUGAUCGAUAUGGGGAUGUACGUUAAUGUCAUGAACUGGUGAGAAAUUGAUUAUGCUAAUACCGCCUUGGGAUAGGGGUAGGACGGUCAAUUGUAUUUGCUUCCGAUUGCAUUGCAAUAUUGGUUACUAGGGGAGGCUAGGAAUAGCAAGCAGGUAAUUAAUCACUAGUAAAAAAUAGGCUUUAUACAGCACACAUUAUGCCACGGUUUACCAGAAACCGCAGCAUAAUGGCGCGUGGUGGCACUUUGGUAAAUAAUUCGAACGUAUAUGUUACCAAUAAGGAGUAUUGGUAAAACCUGAAGAAUUAUUUUGAUGAUGCUGCAAGAGGUAUUAUUUGAAGAGAACAUUAGAUUUAUUUAAAAAGCAACUUGUAGAAUUUGGAUGUAGUAGGAAAAUCUUAAACCUUGUAUUUUUAACUUGAAUAAUCGAUUAUGGACAAGCUAUAAUUGAUUGUCACUUGCAUUUUGUACUAGAAUAAUCGAUUAUCAUGAAGCAAUAAUCGAUUAUCACAAGUCAUACUUGAAUAAUCGGUUAUCACUUCAUAUAAUCGAUUACCACUUUUAGAAAACCCUGUAACGGACUUGAAUAAUCAAUUAUCACUUACAAUAAUCGAUUAUUCAUGGCAGUUGGGACCUGACCUUUGACAUUCAGUGCAUUUGGCUAUAUAUUUGGCUUUUGUAAAAUUCAGAGGCAACGUUUCUAAACUGAGAAGCUUAAUAGAACACUGUUUAUCAGAGGAAAGUUCUCAUAAGCUUUGUUCAUAGUUCCCUUGCUUGGUCUCGUGAAAGGAGAGGCUCGCGUAUCGUGUGUCGAUAGUCGGAGUAGACUUUCUUCGAGUUAGCUAGGUACUCUGCCUGGUCUUGUGAAAGGAGAAGCUCGCGAAUCGUUGGUCGAUUGCCGGAGCGGUGUUGACAAAUUGGCAAGUGUACCAAAUCGUACAAGUAAUAUAAAUGGUAAGACCAAGUAUCGUUUUCCCAAGAGACUCGUGUGGCUUUCUCAUUCGCGUGAAUUAAAAUCAUAAGACUUGAAAAAUAAAAAUUAAUAAAUUGGAUUGGAGAACAAAAAUAUUAACAUGUAAAAAUAAAGUUGAUUCAAUUGACAAACGAAAACAAUGGAUGAAUGAAUGUUGUUGGGGGUUUACAAUUUCAUCUAUUCCACUCUCUCUUACAUACUACCCUUGAAUAUUAGUUUGAUUAAUUGUUAUGCGACUUUCUUAGCCUCCCCUUAACCCGACCCCUCGAUGAAAAGGGCCUAAUAUUAACUACUGGCUUGCUAUCCCUAGCCUCCCCUAGUAAUUAAUACCGCAUUAUAAACAAAAGUUAGCGCAAUUGAUCGUCCUACCCCUAUCCCUAGGUGGUAUUGAAAAAUCAAGAGAUUACUCACCAGUUCAUGUCAUUACUGUACGUCCCCAUAUCAAUAAAGACAAACAUCAAUAUACCAAAUGAGUUAAACGAUAAAGGCCUUAAGCACAGAUGAUAACCCAACAAUAAUCAAUCAAAACAUAUGGAGACCAUAUAAAUAAUCAAGAGAUUCAAUAAGAGAGAGUAUCAAAAGAUUACAUUGUUUCCCCAACAAAAAUAGGGUUUAGUUCACCAUAAACAUGGUGAAACUAGAUGAUAAAUGGAAGAGAAAACCCUAGAAAGGAUGAAAAGGAGCCUAAGCAUCCAAGAAAUCCUCUCCAGAGAGCAAAAUUAGGUCUGGCCGUCUUCCCCUGUCAAAAGAAUGACUCUGAACUCGCAAUAGGGGUAUUUAUAACCAAGAAAAGUUACAAAAUUCAAGCCGAGGCCCAGCGGACCAACGCCCGGCGCCAAAAAUGGCCGCCCGGGGGUUUGCCUAAAGCCACAAAACCGCUCGGCGCCUAAAAAAUAGCCUCUCGGCGCUCCGGUCAACCGCCCGACGGCACGGUCAACCGCCCGACGGUUAGGUCAACUUUUUCUGGUUGACUGAUUGACUUUUCUGGUUGACUGAUUGACUUUUUUGCAUUCUGGUUGACUUUUCUGCACUACAACCGUUUGAUCUUCAACCUUUCUUUCCUUUUCUUGAGUCUACGACCUUUAUCUUCAACUCCAUUCUUCACUUUCUUCAAAAUAGCUACAAAACAAUGCAAAACAAGCAUAAAAUCGCUAAAAACCGCUUUUGACUCUCUUCAGACUCAUUUAUUGAGUUUUGCUUGAUUCUAAGCUUAUUCUUGAGUAGUAAAGGGUGUAAUUUGGUCCAAAUUGACAUAUGAAAAUAACUGUUUUUCAACCUUCAUCAACACCCCAAACUUAGAAUUUUGCUUUCCUCAAGCAAAACAAAACAAAACAACACACAAAAUAAAACUUGGCUUUAUACUGUUUCAUCCAGUGCCUCAAGAAUCCCAAGGUACAUGACAAAACUACUCAAUUCAAUAUCCUCAGUGAAAUCCAAAAUAAGAUGCCUGCAUGCUUUCAAUCUAUAGAUUGCACAACAAAUGUUAUACAUUAUGAAUGACUAAUCCACUAAGCAAAAAUGUACUCAUGAAAAACAACAGUUCAUACCAAGCAAGUGUUUCACUCAAUCACUCAAGUGUUUAAGGUGACACUCCACUCUCUGUUGUUCACAAGUUACAUGAAACAAAAUUGUCAUUCAUCUCAAACAAUCGACAUCUUUACAUGCAAAUGUCAUCAAAAGGACUUUUCCAAGGCUUGUAAUGAGGUUGGGCUAACAACAAAGAAUUGGUUUUUCUAGAAUGCAAAAUCCUUGAGUCAAGAGAGCUAUCAAAAUAUUCAACAUUUAAACACAACUCUCUUCCUCACCAAUCUCUCUCAUUCCCAACUUUUUCCGUUUUCUCUUUCUUUUGCAUUGAGCUCUUCUUCAUGCUUUUCUUCUUUUCUUUUCUUUUUCUCAUGAAUUUUUCUUUUCACACAUUUGAGCUCAAUGUUUUUCACUUGCUUUUCAAAUUUUCCCCCGUACAACCCUAAACUUGAAUCUUUUCAUUCCAUACAAUUAAGCUCAUCCCAACUCAAGGUAAAGAACUUCAAAACAAGGGUUCACAUCCUGUUUAAGGCUAAGGUUCAAAAGGGGUAUAAUAUUUCAAGCACUUUGGGUGAAAAUUUGGGUAGAGAAGGGUUUUCAAAAAUGGCCUUGACCAUAUGACAUUCACAUGCAAUUCAAUUGAUCAUCAAGAUUAAGGCAAUAUCAUCCAUGUUUUUCCUGUGAACAAUGCAUACAUCAAUAAAAACUCUGGAGCUCAAAAUCUCACACACAUGCUUUCUCACACAAAAUUCAUUCAUACACCCUGCCUAGCAUCAUGACCACAAUCAUAAAUUCAUCACACAUCUAUUUCCUGGAUAUCAUCAUGCAUUACNACUCAAUUCUCAUCCACAUCAAAUAAUCAUCAAAUAACUCCAUCAUGCACAUGAGUGUCAAACAUUUUCGGAACAAGUGUUAAAGCCAAGAAUACACACCAAAAUUAAAAUUCAACCUAUUCUAAGAAUUUAAAAUGCAAAAGUGUAAGAAGAAAUCUAGGUUGCCUCCUAGUAGCGCUUGUUUAACGUCACGAUCCUGACUCAAACCUGUUUAGCACUUGUUAGUAAGUGCAAAUCCUUCCAACACCCAUCAGUAGNNNNNNNNNNNNNNNNNNNNNNNNNNNNNNNNNNNNNNNNNNNNNNNNNNNNNNNNNNNNNNNNNNNNNNNNNNNNNNNNNNNNNNNNNNNNNNNNNNNNNNNNNNNNNNNNNNNNNNNNNNNNNNNNNNNNNNNNNNNNNNNNNNNNNNNNNNNNNNNNNNNNNNNNNNNNNNNNNNNNNNNNNNNNNNNNNNNNNNNNNNNNNNNNNNNNNNNNNNNNNNNNNNNNNNNNNNNNNNNNNNNNNNNNNNNNNNNNNNNNNNNNNNNNNNNNNNNNNNNNNNNNNNNNNNNNNNNNNNNNNNNNNNNNNNNNNNNNNNNNNNNNNNNNNNNNNNNNNNNNNNNNNNNNNNNNNNNNNNNNNNNNNNNNNNNNNNNNNNNNNNNNNNNNNNNNNNNNNNNNNNNNNNNNNNNNNNNNNNNNNNNNNNNNNNNNNNNNNNNNNNNNNNNNNNNNNNNNNNNNNNNNNNNNNNNNNNNNNNNNNNNNNNNNNNNNNNNNNNNNNNNNNNNNNNNNNNNNNNNNNNNNNNNNNNNNNNNNNNNNNNNNNNNNNNNNNNNNNNNNNNNNNNNNNNNNNNNNNNNNNNNNNNNNNNNNNNNNNNNNNNNNNNNNNNNNNNNNNNNNNNNNNNNNNNGAUAGUGGCUUGACAUUCUUCUUUAGGGUUGACUUCAGUAUCAGCCUUAAUAAUGCCUAAAGCCUUUAGGGCAUGAAAGUGUUGUUCCUGCAAUAAACGUGCUUGUGCUUCUCCCAAUGUUUCUUUGCGUACAGGAGAUUUUUUUGUUAUAAACGCUGUCGGGCUUCCCCCAACGUCUCUUUUGGUUCAGAAAAUAAGUUUGUUGACAAAUUGGCAAGCGUACCAAAUCGUGCAAGUAAUAUAAAUGGUAAGACCAAGUAUCNUUUUCCCAAGAGACUCGAAAGGCUUUCUCGUUCACGUGAAUUAAAAUAAUAAGACUUGAAAAUAAAAAUUAAUAAAUUGGAUUUGAGAACAAAAAUAUUAACAUGCAAAAUAAAGUUGAUUCAAUUGACAAAAGAGAACAAUGGAUGAAUGAAUGUUGUUGGGGGUUUACAAUUUCAUCUAAUCCGCUCUCUCUUACAUACUACCCUUGAAAAUUAGUUUGAUUGAUUUAAUUGUUAUGCGAGUUUCUUAGCCUCCCCUUAACCCGAUCCCUCGGCGAAAAGGGCCUAAUAUUAACUACUGGCUUGCUAUCCCUAGCCUCCCCUAGUAAUUAAUACCGCAUUAUAAACAAAAGUUAGCGCAAUUGAUCGUCCUACCCCUAUCCCUAGGUGGUAUUGUAAAAUCAAGAAAUUACUCACCAGUUCCUCUCAUUACUGUACGUCCCCAUAUCAAUAAAGACAAACAUCAGCUACCGAACGAGUUAAACGAUAAAGGCCUUAAGCACAGAUGAUAACCCAACAAUUAUCAAUCAAAACAUAUGGAGACCAUAUAAAUAAUCAAGAGUUUCAAUAAAAGAAACUAUCAAAAGAUUACAUUGUUUCCCCCAACAACAAUAGGGUUUAGUUCACCAGGGUCAUGGUGAAACUAGAUGGAAAAUGGAAGAAGAAUGGAAAAGUAAACCCUAGAAAAGAUGAAAAAGAGCCUAAGCAUCCAAGAGAUCAUGUCCAGAGAGCAAAAUUAGGUUUGGCCAUCCUCCCCUUUCAAAAGAAUGACUCUGAACUAUCAAUAGGGGUAUUUAUAACCAAGAAAAGUGACAAAAUUCAAGCCCAGGCUCAGCGGACCACCGCCCGGCGCCAAAAAUGGCCGCCCGGCGGUUUGCCUAAAGCCACAGAACCGCCCAGCGCCAAAAAACAGCCAUCCGGCGCUCCGGUCAACCGCCCGGCAGCACGGUCAACCGCCCAGCGGUUUGGUCAACUUUUUCUGGUUGACUUUUCUGGUUGACUGGUUGACUUUUCUGCAUUUUGGUUGACUUUUCUGCACUGCAACCGUUUGAUCUUCAACCUUUCUUUCCUUUUCUUGAGUCUACGACCUUUAUCUUCAACUCCAUUUUUCAUUUUCUUAAAAUAGCUACAAAACAAUGUAAAACAAGCAUAAUAUCGCUAAAACAGCUUUUGACUCUCUACAGGCUCAUUUAUUGAGGUUUGCUUGAUUCUAAGCUCAUUCCAAGUAGUAAAGGGCGUAAUUUGGUCCAAAUUGACAUAUGAAAAUAACUGUUUUUGAACUUUCAUCAACAACCCCAAACUUAGAACUUUGCUUGUCCUCAAGCAAAACAAAACAAAACACACACAAAAAAACUUGGCUUUAUACUUUUUCAUCCAAUGCCUCAACAAUCCAAAGGUACAUGACAAAACUGCUCAAUUCAAUAUUCUCAAUGAAUUCCAAAAUAAGAUGCAUACAUGCUUUCAAUCUAGAGAUUGAAUAACAGAUGUUAUACAUUAUGAAUGACCAAUCCAUUAAGCAAAAAUGCACUCAUGAAAAUUAACAGUUCAUACCAAGCAAGUGUUUCACUCAAUCACUUAAGUGUUUAAGGUGACACUCCAACUCUCUAUUGUUCCCAAGUCACAUGAAACAAAAUUGCCAUUCAUCUCACACAAUCAACAUCUUUACAUGCAAAUGCCAUCAAAAGGACUUUUUCAAGGCUUGUAAUGAGGUUGGGCUAAGAAGAAAAAUUGAUUUUUUUUGUUUUCUAGAAUGCAAAAUCUUUGAGUCAAGAGAACUAUCAAAAUAUUCAACAAUUAAGCACAACUCUCUCACCAAAAUUUCUCAUUCCCAACUUCUUCCCUUUUCUUUUCUUCUUCAUCGAGCUCAUCUUCAUGCUUUUCUUCUUUUCUUUUCUUUUUCUCAUGAAUUUUUCUCUUUUCACAACAAUUGAGCUCAAUGCAUUUUACUUGCUUUUUCAAUUUUNCCCCGUACAACCCCAAACUUGAGCCUUUUCAUCACAUACAAUUAAGCUCAUCCCAACUUAAGGUAAAGAAUUUCAAAACAAGGGUUCAUAUACUGUUUAAGGCUAAGGUUCAAAAAGGGUAAUAUUUCAAGCACUUUGGGUGAAAAUUUGGUUAGAGAAGGGUUUUCAAAAAUGGCCUUGAUCAUAUGACAUUCACAUGCAACUCAAUCAAUCAUCAAGAUUAGGCAAUAUCAUCCAUAUUUUCCUGUGAACAAUGCAUACAACAAUAAAAACUCUAGAGCUCAAAAUCUCAAACACAUGCUUUCUCACACCAAAUUCAUUCAUGCACCCUGCCUAGCAUUAUGACCACAAUCAUAAUUUCAUCACACAUCUAUUUCCUGGAUAUCAACAUGCAUUGCAACUCAAUUCUCAUCCACAUCAAAUAAUCAUCAAAUAGAUCCAACAUGCACAUCAGUCAGGAAAACAUUAUCAGAAAAAGUAUUCAAGCCAAGAGUACACACCAAAAUAAAAAUUCAACCUAUUCUAAGAAUUUAGAAUGCAAAAGUGUAAGAAGAAAUCUAGGUUGCCUCCUAGUAGCGCUUGUUUAACGUCACGAGCCUGACCCAAACCUGUUUGGCACUUGUCAGUAAGUGCACUUCCUUCCCAACACCCAUCAGUAGGUGUACCUCCCUAUAUCCUUCAGUAGAUACCUAAAUCUUCUAGCAUCCCUCAGUAGAUGCUAUCCCAGUAGGAUUUAUCAGUAAACGCUGAUUUUUCUAAUCUUCAUUGGCAUCCAUCAGUAAAUGUCAUUUCACCUAACAUCCAUCAGUAGAUGUUAUCAUCACUGGCAUCAGAAACAGCACAACCC